This 439-nucleotide ribosomal RNA is filed under the name uncultured bacterium. RNAcentral describes it as "partial 16S ribosomal RNA". It matches the Rfam family "Bacterial small subunit ribosomal RNA", at positions 339 to 795 of the family's 1533-position model. The record is from RNAcentral.
CUACGGGUGGCAGCAGUGGGGAAUAUUGCACAAUGGAGGAAACUCUGAUGCAGCAACGCCGCGUGGAGGAUGACACUUUUCGGAGCGUAAACUCCUUUUAUAUAGGAAGAUAAUGACGGUACUAUAUGAAUAAGCACCGGCUAACUCCGUGCCAGCAGCCGCGGUAAUACGGAGGGUGCAAGCGUUACUCGGAAUCACUGGGCGUAAAGAGCGUGUAGGCGGAUAGAUAAGUCAGGAGUGAAAUCCUAUGGCUCAACCAUAGAACUGCUCUUGAAACUGUCUAUCUAGAAUAUGGGAGAGGUAGAGGGAAUUUCUGGUGUAGGGGUAAAAUCCGUAGAGAUCAGAAGGAAUACCGAUUGCGAAGGCGAUCUACUGGAACAUUAUUGACGCUGAGACGCGAAAGCGUGGGGAGCGAACAGGAUUAGAUACCCUGGAAGUC